This is a long non-coding RNA of Brachypodium distachyon (stiff brome), 1425 nucleotides long. RefSeq lists it as uncharacterized. The transcript is spliced from 2 exons. The record is from RefSeq and is a predicted model, not a curated record. Lineage: Eukaryota; Viridiplantae; Streptophyta; Magnoliopsida; Poales; Poaceae.
UGCAGGAUUGCAUAUCUCCCACUCUCAUUCUCACCCUCAGCAAAUGCACCAACUAAUCAGCUAGGAACACAAGGGGGAUUAACAGUUUCCAAGCAACUGCUGAAGAUUCAAGUGACUUCAGCAGACUUGAUCUAGCUAGCCAAUCGCCGGUCAAAAUGUGAAUGCUAGAUGAUGCAAGUGCUGCUGCCACUUUAGGGGUCAGACAAUGACAUCCUAAAAGAUCAUGUAACACUCCAUGGAUCCUCUGUUUGACUCUGAUGACCAAUGCUCCAUUGUUACUCUUUUUAUUCAGUUCAGACUGCACAAUGCCAUGUAUGUUGCUGGUCACAAGCUAGCUAAGAAAUUAAGGUUGUUUUCACACUUGGUUCAUACUAUUGUGUGUAAAUUCUUUUUCCACCAUGAGGUACUAAUUAAUUAAUCAAUCAAACUGCAACACAAUGAGCUACCACUGCACUUUUAUCAUGUUGUUUUCCUACUGUAUUCAGCUAGCUUGCUGGCUAGGCUAGGGCCACUUGAAACGAAACAAGGAUGGAUUCUUUGAAUCGUUUGCUUUUUUCUCCUCUUUAACCACACAUAUAUACUUGUGUCCAUGGAUGCUCUUGUAUGUUUCAUUCGACAGUAAAAUCAACUCCUUUGAUGAUAUAUCCCAUCUUUUGAUGCAUGUCCUGACCUCUUUUAUCAGGCAAGUAAAAAUAUACGAUUGAAGAUCCCCAGACAUACACCAGAGGGAUUGGAUUCUUGCCUUGCUGCUGGAGGCAGGCAGGCAUUGCAGCAGUGCAGGAGCAAUGCCACAUCACUGUCCAUCCAUCCAGGGGAUGUCUUUUUUGCAUCCCUCACAAUCUUCUCUCCUUUUGAGAAAGCAGGAGGAACCGGCCAUGGAUCCUUGUACAUCAAUCUAUCUAUCCCUGUCUCUCAUGCUUCUUUUUAUGUCCCAAAAAGAACAGAAAAAAAUAACAAGAACAAAGACGUGUUGUGGCUACAGAAGAUGAGGCUCAAAGCUUCUUUGGCACAAAAGAGCAGGGGAAUAGUAGUCCAUGGCCACUCUUUGGGAGAAAAUAUGCAUGGAUGAAUUUGAGUGAAUGGUUUCAUCAUUUGUGCUAUGUGCUUUUGCUUUGUUCCAGGAUCCCUCCCUCCCAAAGGAGUUGACACAAAGUGAAAGGUGUUCUAUAUAUCUAUCUAUCCAUCCACCAGGAAUAUUAUGUAUGCAUCCACAGCCUCUACAUACACUGCGCUUUCUUUUGAAACGAACAGAGCCUAAACUGUCUGUCCCCUUAUUUUGACCAGGCCAUCCACAUCUUUGACUUGUUGUCUAGUCCACUUUGAACUUAUAGUCUCCCGAACAUGUUACUGCAGGGAACUAAUUAUUAAUCCACUUAAACCGGCAGGAAUUGUUACCGUGCUUCAAUACAUAAUCGGAUGCUUCUA